CCCGCCCCGCCCACCUCCUGCUACGCCCCUCGCGCCGCCGGCCGCCUCCUGCCCCGCUCCGCCCCUCACCACGCGCCGCCGGCCUUCUCCUGCCUCCCAAUCCCAUCUCGCGGCUUUCUUCGCCGUUCACCGCUCCCCUCCACCUACUGGUCGCGACCUCGUGGGAGGCAGAGGAUGGGAGGGUGCGGCGCUGGCGUCCGACUCCAGGAGCUCCAGGAGCUCGAGAGGGCCGAUCUGCGCGUCGGCGACCUCGCGGGAGGCAUGGCGUGGCGUGUUGCGCUCGAGACGAGCGGGCUCGAGUAAGGGGAUUGGAGGGUGGCGCCGGCGGGAUCGUGGACGGUGAUGGAGUGGGCGGGUGCCGGCAAGAUCGAGGCCGGGGAUGGAGAGGGCGGUCGGCGAGCUGGCGGCUGAGGAUGGAAGAGGCGGCGCUAAUUCGCUGCUACCCGCACCGCACCACGUCCCUAGCUUCCUCCUCUCUGAUCGAACCGAGUCCGUUUUACAAAGGGAUCCGGCGACUAGAGGGGAGCUGCCACCGGUGACGCUGCCAGAGAAGCUGGCGAGGUUCCUCCAGAAGUGCGCCGAAGGAGUUCCAGGACGAGCCCCGGUAUAGCGGCGACCGGUGGUACCUUCGCGGCUGGGUUCCAGAUGAACAGGCAUGGUGGGAGGGCGAUGCUCUGUUGACUGCUUUUCUUAUAAUAUUACAGAGGGAGGAUCGAAGUGGAGAUUGGUACUUUCUCUUUCAGCGGCCAAAGAAAAGCAACACUUGUUCAUGUGAUUUCAGAUGAAACGACCAGAGUGUGUAAAAUCUGGAUCGCUACAAACAGGUCAAGAAUAACUUCUCCAAGCUCUCAGAAGAGAAGCAAUAAUGUGACUCCCAGGUGCCUCUCUGAGAAAAGCUGGAGAUGCUUUGCCAGUGGCAAAACAAAGGGAAGUAAUUGCUACGGACGCCAGCCAGGUGUUCAUGCUAUUUGAUUAAUGUUUUCUGCUCUUAAUAAUGCUUUCGUUUUUCUUCUUUUAGAACCCUUCUUUUGUACUCUUACAAAUAGCAGAUGAAAGGAGAAGGAUGAAGAAGUCAAGCUAUUGGAGAGAUCAAUUGAGGAGCUCAAAAGAACUUUAGUGUUCUCAAAAGUAGCUUUAUUUAGUUUGAGUGAAUUUUGUGGCCUAAGUGUUGUAGCUAUUCAUUUUGCCACGCAUUCUGAAUGUUAGUACACACCCAUGUUGGUACAGAACUCCUAUUGUUAUGCCUGUUAUGACAACAACUUUCCCAGAUUUUUGUGCAUAAACAUACAUAUGUGGACUAAAUUCUUUUGUUACUUGCUCAGCCAAUACAUAUCUAUGCUUUUUUUUGCGGGUGAAUACAUAUGUAUGCUAAUAUAGUUAUUGGUGUUAUGAUAUUGGUUGAGUCAAUUAUACCAUUUACAAUAUUCAAAUAGGCUUUGAGUUUGGUAUAUGCAAAAUGUUUACAAACUAUUAACGUCUAAGUGAUAACUAAUAAAAAAAUAUGCAUCGUGCAUUCAUCCAUCUAUGGUAACUAUGCAAGCAUGCAUGACUAACAUUUGUUUUUCAAAUUUUCAAUCAUUUUUCUCAAGAAUUGUCCUUCUUAUCUCGGAUGAGAUAUAUUGAUGCAUUCCCAUAUUUACAUAUACUUCUAAUCCCUGAAAACACAAGACAAAUCCUAAAAGCAGUUACUUUUUGUAAUUAAAAUUGCUAGCAAUGACCUUUUUGUUUUACGCUAUUAAAUAUCUUAUGAUCUGAACAUCAUGCACCUGCCUGGAAACACAUAUUAGCACUGACUAGUGAAUUUUCACUAAGAAAAGAGAGCCUGAUUUUUGGGGAUAUUUUUCUCCCGUUGCAACGCACGGGCCCUUUUGCUAGUCUCUCCCUAAUAAUAAAGCACGGAUUGACUUUGUCGGGUUCACCGUCGCAAUGCGCUUUUUUCCGUGAUUUUACGCUUUCAGUUUGAAUUUUAAAACAUAUUCGAGGUGGUACUAAAUUUUGUCUCUGCAACUCGAUUGACCGGUACAUUCUUGUUUAGCUGGGCUGCGAUCCAGUUGGGCCUUGGCCCGUCUCUCUAUUCUGACCGCUACGUCUCUACGUUUCGUUAAAAAAAGUACGUUUUAUCCAAACGCUUUGCGGAGGGCGGAGCUGUGGCAGAAGAGGCGGCGCGACGGAGCAGAAGGGGCGGCGCGACGGAGCAGGAGAAGAUGGCCGAGAAGAUGUUCAGGCGCGGCGCGGCGGGCGAAGAAGAGUUUUGGUGAUGAGCUUGUGGCCACGCUGGACCAGCUGCUGCAGCCCCCCUGCGCCGUCGCCGUGGGUCGCCUGUGUUCUGCUGCUCCGGUGCCGGCACCUGUCCCUGUGCGGUGCCGUGCUCAGGAAUUUGGCGAAGAAGGCGACUGCCGUGCUUGCGCGCGAGAAGGGCGCCGGACCUCGUUGGCGCUGCGAAGGGGGCACAGCUCAGGUUGGGUACGCCGUCGGCCAGCGCCGGCGGCGAGCACGCUCCGCUGUGACCUGUCCGCCACAGCCAGUCCUCUCCCGCCUCCCCCGACUCCGUGUCCUUGUCCAACGCAAAUCAAUGGAGCUGCCGACCAGGAUUGUUGUUGGCUUCUAUAAGAAGGGAGGGUCCUCGGCUCGAAUCUCCAUCAGGUCAAUUUUGGACGAAGCAUCCAAUGUCGACACCGAGUUCGCCGCAGGAAGAAGCCCGGAGUUCGCCGGAGGUAGAAGAAGCGCCGAGUUCGCCGAAGGUAGAAGAACAGCCGUCGAGCUGUCCAAUCUCGCGUGCGUUGGCUACAACAGAGAUGGUGCCAAAGGCGGAGGGGCAGCUGCGCGGCUGUACGAGCUACAACAGCAGACUGACAUUUGGCCGGCUGGGAGAACCCAAUUGUAGAGGAGUAGUGCCGUGAAAAAGAUGAAGACGGCGCGAGGCACGAGCUGUGGGCAUGGUAGGCAGAUCCCCUUCAAGGCCACUGACUACAUGAGGGAGAGGUUGUCAGUUGGACAGAUUUGUCCUUCAUUUCAUUACUCAGUGCUGACCUCUUUCUCUAUUUUAUCUCAUUUUUUCAUUAGACUUUUUUAAGGAUGAUAAUAAUCUAUAAACAUUGUAGAAUGGUCAUGCUUCUCUUUGCAAGCUUAUAGCUUGAUUUACAUCUGAAUGACUUUGGCUUUAGUGU
RNAcentral lists this ribosomal RNA (3167 nucleotides) under Triticum aestivum (bread wheat). Its description in RNAcentral is "partial small subunit ribosomal RNA". Lineage: Eukaryota; Viridiplantae; Streptophyta; Magnoliopsida; Poales; Poaceae. The record is from RNAcentral.